Molecule: ribosomal RNA, 202 nt
Filed under: uncultured Pseudomonadales bacterium
Lineage: Bacteria; Pseudomonadati; Pseudomonadota; Gammaproteobacteria; Pseudomonadales
Description: partial 16S ribosomal RNA
Rfam family: Bacterial small subunit ribosomal RNA
Source: RNAcentral
CUGGUAGUGGGGGACAACGUUUCGAAAGGAACGCUAAUACCGCAUACGUCCUACGGGAGAAAGCAGGGGACCUUCGGGCCUUGCGCUAUCAGAUGAGCCUAGGUCGGAUUAGCUAGUUGGUGAGGUAAUGGCUCACCAAGGCGACGAUCCGUAACUGGUCUGAGAGGAUGAUCAGUCACACUGGAACUGAGACACGGUCCAG